UGGGUUCUGUAUUGUGUUCUGUUGAGCUGUUUGUCCAUUCCUUCACCAAUAUCACUCUCUUCAUUGCUUUAGCUUUGUGGUAAAGCUAACAAUAAUGAGUGUACUGCUCCUAAACAAGGAGUAUCUGCAUUUAUUUAAUAUUUUUUAUUCUUCUCAACCGUGAUCUAAAGUUUUCUGAAUGCAUAUUUGUAUGUAUUUUGUUAGAUUUAUACCUAAUAAAUUAAAUUUUGGGAAUGCUAUUGUAAAUGGUAUUUUUUUCAAAUUUCAAGUUCAAAUUAUUCCUAUACAUUAUUGCUGAUGAUAGAAAGAAAAUCAGGCAGUGUGUGGUGGCUCACGCCCGUAAUCCUAGCACUUUGGGAGGCCUAGUUGGGAGGAUCAUUUGAGCUUGGGAGUUCUAGACCAGCCUGGGCAACAUAGUUAGACCUGCCCCGCCCAUAAAAAAUAAAAUAAUAAAUAAAGGAAAAUCAGGUGGUGCCGGACACAGUUGUUCACACCUGUAAUCCCAGUGUGUUGGGAGGCUGAGGCUGGAGAAUUUCUUGAACCCGGGAGCUGGAGGCUGAACUCGGGAGCUGUGAUUACACCACUGCACUUCAGCAUGGGUGACAGAGCGAGACCCUGUCUCUUAAAGAGAAAAGAAAGAAAAUCAAUUAAGUUUUGCCUACUGGCCAUCUUUUUUUUGAGAUGGAGUUUGGCUCUGUCACCCAGGUUGGAGUGCAGUGACAUGAUCUUGGCUCACUGCAACCUGCGCCUCCUGGGUUCGAGCAAUCCUCCUGCCUCAGCCUCCUGAGUAGCUGGGAUUACAGGCACGUGCCGCCAUGCCCAGCUAAUUUUUGUAUUUUUAGUAUAGACGCGGUUUCACCAUGUUAGCCAGGCUGGUCUCAAACUCUGGACCUGAAGUAAUCCGCCCGCUUCAGCCUCCCAAAAUGCUGGGAUUACAGGCAUGAACUGGCCAUCUUCUUUGCUUCCUUGCUCCAUGAGUUCCGAUCAAGGCAUGGGAUGGUGGGCUCCAUUUCAGUCGUAAUUUCCAAAAUCCACAGCCUGGAAAAAUCUAGACGCUGAUUUUCAGAGACUCCCCAUGGCUGCCGCAAGGGGGCGCAUGGCCCCUGGCAACUCGGGGCGCCGUGCACGCACCGCGUCUCAUCCACACAGCGGCAGUCACUUUGCGGCCACUAUGAGGACUGAGCUUCCUCUCCCCAGGACCCGCAUGGGAGAGACCGCGGCUUCGAGACACCUGGGGACACCUGGGGACACCUGGGGCGGCGUCCGCGGUGAGGACUGGGAGACGCUGCUGCAUCUCCGGGACACCACUUGGGGCCGAGGCCAAGGGAUUCUCCACGGCUGCCAUUAGGGGGCCCGGCCAAACCCGGAGCGCCACAGUAGAACUGCGUCUGAUCCGUACAGCGGCAUCCCUGGGUGUGAGGACUGUGAGGACGGAGUUUUCUCUCCUCAGGACCCACCCAGGAGGGGCCAUGGCUUCGAGACACCUGAGGACACCUGGGGCCACGUCCGCGAUGAGGACAUCUCUGGGACACCUGGGGCUGCAUCUCCGGGACACCUGGGGCUGACCCUGGUACGGGGAAAGGAGGAGGAACACAGAGACGCCCUCGUGAGGUCGGGGACCAGCAGGCACCACAGUCUAAGGCCAAUGAAACAGGCGCCCCUAGAUGAGUGCUCGGUGUUUGUUUUGUUUUGUUUUCUUUUGAGAAGGAGUUUCGCUCUUGCUCCCCAGGCUGGAGUGCGAUGUCGCGAUCUCGACUCACUGCAACCUCUGCCUCCCGGGUUCAAGCGAUUCUCCUGCCUCAGCCUCCCGAGUAGCUGGGAUUACAGUCAUGCGCCAUCACGCCCGGCUAAUUUUGUAGUUUUAGUAGAGACGGUGUUUCUCCAUGUUGAUCAGGCUGGUCUCGAACUCCUGAUCUCAGGUGAUCCACCCACCUCGGCCUCCCAAAGUGCUGGAAUUACAGGCGUGACCCACUGGGCCCGGCCAGUGCUUUGUGUUUUAAGGCUCUUUUGUUAACGCAGUGGAAACAACACAGGAAAUGGAAAAGCAGGCACAUUAUCAUUCUCAGGCCACUGCAUUUAGCCUGGGCGACAGAGCGAGACCUUGUCUCAAAAAACAAAAACAAAUGAAAACAAAAACAAACCAUUUUGUGUGUCUAAUGGAAGUGACCUCGUCAACAACAGUCUUUUGUUGAGAAAGUCUGUUUAAUUGGCAGUGUAUUUGUAAUGGUACAUAAAAUGACGUCUGCUUUAUAAGCAUUCUCAUUCCUAUAUUAGAUGAAAUGUAUUAACUAUAUCAAGCUUUGAUAUUAUACCAUAAAAUUACUUGAAGAAAGUCACUACUCUUUUUUUUCCUUUACCUUGACCAUUUUAAAUAAAAUCAUAUUUCAUUAAGGUUAGUUAAUACUGAGCUGUAAAUAUGUAUGGUCCUGGGGUCUUUUCUUUCUUUUUUCCUUUUUUUUUUUUUUUUUUUGAAACGGAGUCUCGCUCUGUCUCCCAGGCUGGAGUGCAGUGGCGCAAUCUCGGCUCACCGCAACCUCCACCUCCUGGGUUUGAGCAAUUCUCUGCCUCAGCCUCCUAAGUAGCUGGGAUUAUAGUCACUUACCACCA
RNAcentral lists this long non-coding RNA (2607 nucleotides) under Homo sapiens (human). RNAcentral's name for it is "HSALNT0226112". Lineage: Eukaryota; Metazoa; Chordata; Mammalia; Primates; Hominidae. The record is from RNAcentral.